GACGAACGCUGGCGGCGUGCUUAACACAUGCAAGUCGAACGGAAAGGCCCUGCUUUUGUGGGGUGCUCGAGUGGCGAACGGGUGAGUAACACGUGAGUAACCUGCCCUUGACUUUGGGAUAACUUCAGGAAACUGGGGCUAAUACCGGAUAGGAGCUCCUGCUGCAUGGUGGUGGUUGGAAAGUUUCGGCGGUUGGGGAUGGACUCGCGGCUUAUCAGCUUGUUGGUGGGGUAGUGGCUUACCAAGGCUUUGACGGGUAGCCGGCCUGAGAGGGUGACCGGCCACAUUGGGACUGAGAUACGGCCCAGACUCCUACGGGAGGCAGCAGUGGGGAAUAUUGCAGAAUGGGCGGAAGCCUGAUGCAGCAACGCCGCGUGCGGGAUGACGGCCUUCGGGUUGUAAACCGCUUUCGCCUGUGACGAAGAGUGAGUGACGGUAAUGGGUAAAGAAGCAACGGCUAACUACGUG
RNAcentral lists this ribosomal RNA (468 nucleotides) under uncultured bacterium. Its description in RNAcentral is "partial 16S ribosomal RNA". It matches the Rfam family "Bacterial small subunit ribosomal RNA", at positions 28 to 507 of the family's 1533-position model. The record is from RNAcentral.